Molecule: ribosomal RNA, 525 nt
Filed under: uncultured bacterium
Lineage: Bacteria
Description: partial 16S ribosomal RNA
Rfam family: Bacterial small subunit ribosomal RNA
Source: RNAcentral
UAGGGAAUCUUCCACAAUGGACGCAAGUCUGAUGGAGCAACGCCGCGUGAGUGAAGAAGGUUUUCGGACCGUAAAGCUCUGUUGUUGGUGAAGAAGGAUAGAGGUAGUAACUGGCCUUUAUUUGACGGUAAUCAACCAGAAAGUCACGGCUAACUACGUGCCAGCAGCCGCGGUAAUACGUAGGUGGCAAGCGUUGUCCGGAUUUAUUGGGCGUAAAGCGAGCGCAGGCGGAAGAAUAAGUCUGAUGUGAAAGCCCUCGGCUUAACCGAGGAAUUGCAUCGGAAACUGUUUUUCUUGAGUGCAGAAGAGGAGAGUAGAACUCCAUGUGUAGCGGUGGAAUGCGUAGAUAUAUGGAAGAAUACCAGUGGCGAAGGCGGCUCUCUGGUCUGCAACUGACGCUGAGGCUCGAAAGCAUGGGUAGCGAACAGGAUUAGAUACCCUGGUAGUCCAUGCCGUAAACGAUGAGUGCUAAGUGUUGGGAGGCUUCCGCCUCUCAGUGCUGCAGCUAGCGCAUUAAGCACUCCG